This 541-nucleotide ribosomal RNA is filed under the name uncultured Bacilli bacterium. Its description in RNAcentral is "bacterial SSU rRNA". It matches the Rfam family "Bacterial small subunit ribosomal RNA", at positions 216 to 748 of the family's 1533-position model. Lineage: Bacteria; Bacillati; Bacillota; Bacilli. The record is from RNAcentral.
CACUUGCAGAUGGACCCGCGGCGCAUUAGCUAGUUGGUGAGGUAACGGCUCACCAAGGCGACGAUGCGUAGCCGACCUGAGAGGGUGAUCGGCCACACUGGGACUGAGACACGGCCCAGACUCCUACGGGAGGCAGCAGUAGGGAAUCUUCCGCAAUGGACGAAAGUCUGACGGAGCAACGCCGCGUGAGUGAUGAAGGUUUUCGGAUCGUAAAACUCUGUUGUUAGGGAAGAACAAGUACCGUUCGAAUAGGGCGGUACCUUGACGGUACCUAACCAGAAAGCCACGGCUAACUACGUGCCAGCAGCCGCGGUAAUACGUAGGUGGCAAGCGUUGUCCGGAAUUAUUGGGCGUAAAGCGCGCGCAGGCGGUUUCUUAAGUCUGAUGUGAAAGCCCCCGGCUCAACCGGGGAGGGUCAUUGGAAACUGGGGAACUUGAGUGCAGAAGAGGAGAGUGGAAUUCCACGUGUAGCGGUGAAAUGCGUAGAGAUGUGGAGGAACACCAGUGGCGAAGGCGACUCUCUGGUCUGUAACUGACGCUG